RNAcentral lists this unclassified non-coding RNA (388 nucleotides) under Hevea brasiliensis (rubber tree). The record is from RNAcentral. Lineage: Eukaryota; Viridiplantae; Streptophyta; Magnoliopsida; Malpighiales; Euphorbiaceae.
AAACUAUUGUGAACAAUCACAAUAUAGAUAAAUCCCAAAACAGCCUAAAAUGGCAAACAAUAACCAAAUGCUAGUCACAGAAACACCAAAAUAUCAGUUCAAGUUAACACGAUUACCCCAUAAUUGAUAUAGAACCUAUUCAAGUAUACAAUGGCCAAUCAGUCCAUGCUCCAGAAACAUGGCCAUUCUCACAGACAUAAGCUCGAACAACUGGUUCUCCAUCAUCAUGGUACCCGAAAUACCUCCUCAAACAGAAGGCUGAAUGCAGAUCCCACGUCUGUUUCGAUGAGCAAAAUGCACAAUUCAGAUCGAUCUUCUUCCUAUUGCCAUCAUUAAUCGUCCUCCAUACCCUUGACUGCUUGAAAUUCUUGAAAAUCCCACGAAAUAG